RNAcentral lists this ribosomal RNA (2363 nucleotides) under Staphylococcus aureus. RNAcentral's name for it is "bacterial LSU rRNA". It matches the Rfam family "Bacterial large subunit ribosomal RNA", at positions 14 to 2375 of the family's 2925-position model. Lineage: Bacteria; Bacillati; Bacillota; Bacilli; Caryophanales; Staphylococcaceae. The record is from RNAcentral.
AGGGCGCACGGUGGAUGCCUUGGCACUAGAAGCCGAUGAAGGACGUUACUAACGACGAUAUGCUUUGGGGAGCUGUAAGUAAGCUUUGAUCCAGAGAUUUCCGAAUGGGGAAACCCAGCAUGAGUUAUGUCAUGUUAUCGAUAUGUGAAUACAUAGCAUAUCAGAAGGCACACCCGGAGAACUGAAACAUCUUAGUACCCGGAGGAAGAGAAAGAAAAUUCGAUUCCCUUAGUAGCGGCGAGCGAAACGGGAAGAGCCCAAACCAACAAGCUUGCUUGUUGGGGUUGUAGGACACUCUAUACGGAGUUACAAAGGACGACAUUAGACGAAUCAUCUGGAAAGAUGAAUCAAAGAAGGUAAUAAUCCUGUAGUCGAAAAUGUUGUCUCUCUUGAGUGGAUCCUGAGUACGACGGAGCACGUGAAAUUCCGUCGGAAUCUGGGAGGACCAUCUCCUAAGGCUAAAUACUCUCUAGUGACCGAUAGUGAACCAGUACCGUGAGGGAAAGGUGAAAAGCACCCCGGAAGGGGAGUGAAAUAGAACCUGAAACCGUGUGCUUACAAGUAGUCAGAGCCCGUUAAUGGGUGAUGGCGUGCCUUUUGUAGAAUGAACCGGCGAGUUACGAUUUGAUGCAAGGUUAAGCAGUAAAUGUGGAGCCGUAGCGAAAGCGAGUCUGAAUAGGGCGUUUAGUAUUUGGUCGUAGACCCGAAACCAGGUGAUCUACCCUUGGUCAGGUUGAAGUUCAGGUAACACUGAAUGGAGGACCGAACCGACUUACGUUGAAAAGUGAGCGGAUGAACUGAGGGUAGCGGAGAAAUUCCAAUCGAACCUGGAGAUAGCUGGUUCUCUCCGAAAUAGCUUUAGGGCUAGCCUCAAGUGAUGAUUAUUGGAGGUAGAGCACUGUUUGGACGAGGGGCCCCUCUCGGGUUACCGAAUUCAGACAAACUCCGAAUGCCAAUUAAUUUAACUUGGGAGUCAGAACAUGGGUGAUAAGGUCCGUGUUCGAAAGGGAAACAGCCCAGACCACCAGCUAAGGUCCCAAAAUAUAUGUUAAGUGGAAAAGGAUGUGGCGUUGCCCAGACAACUAGGAUGUUGGCUUAGAAGCAGCCAUCAUUUAAAGAGUGCGUAAUAGCUCACUAGUCGAGUGACACUGCGCCGAAAAUGUACCGGGGCUAAACAUAUUACCGAAGCUGUGGAUUGUCCUUUGGACAAUGGUAGGAGAGCGUUCUAAGGGCGUUGAAGCAUGAUCGUAAGGACAUGUGGAGCGCUUAGAAGUGAGAAUGCCGGUGUGAGUAGCGAAAGACGGGUGAGAAUCCCGUCCACCGAUUGACUAAGGUUUCCAGAGGAAGGCUCGUCCGCUCUGGGUUAGUCGGGUCCUAAGCUGAGGCCGACAGGCGUAGGCGAUGGAUAACAGGUUGAUAUUCCUGUACCACCUAUAAUCGUUUUAAUCGAUGGGGGGACGCAGUAGGAUAGGCGAAGCGUGCGAUUGGAUUGCACGUCUAAGCAGUAAGGCUGAGUAUUAGGCAAAUCCGGUACUCGUUAAGGCUGAGCUGUGAUGGGGAGAAGACAUUGUGUCUUCGAGUCGUUGAUUUCACACUGCCGAGAAAAGCCUCUAGAUAGAAAAUAGGUGCCCGUACCGCAAACCGACACAGGUAGUCAAGAUGAGAAUUCUAAGGUGAGCGAGCGAACUCUCGUUAAGGAACUCGGCAAAAUGACCCCGUAACUUCGGGAGAAGGGGUGCUCUUUAGGGUUAACGCCCAGAAGAGCCGCAGUGAAUAGGCCCAAGCGACUGUUUAUCAAAAACACAGGUCUCUGCUAAACCGUAAGGUGAUGUAUAGGGGCUGACGCCUGCCCGGUGCUGGAAGGUUAAGAGGAGUGGUUAGCUUCUGCGAAGCUACGAAUCGAAGCCCCAGUAAACGGCGGCCGUAACUAUAACGGUCCUAAGGUAGCGAAAUUCCUUGUCGGGUAAGUUCCGACCCGCACGAAAGGCGUAACGAUUUGGGCACUGUCUCAACGAGAGACUCGGUGAAAUCAUAGUACCUGUGAAGAUGCAGGUUACCCGCGACAGGACGGAAAGACCCCGUGGAGCUUUACUGUAGCCUGAUAUUGAAAUUCGGCACAGCUUGUACAGGAUAGGUAGGAGCCUUUGAAACGUGAGCGCUAGCUUACGUGGAGGCGCUGGUGGGAUACUACCCUAGCUGUGUUGGCUUUCUAACCCGCACCACUUAUCGUGGUGGGAGACAGUGUCAGGCGGGCAGUUUGACUGGGGCGGUCGCCUCCUAAAAGGUAACGGAGGCGCUCAAAGGUUCCCUCAGAAUGGUUGGAAAUCAUUCAUAGAGUGUAAAGGCAUAAGGGAGCUUGACUG